RNAcentral lists this ribosomal RNA (497 nucleotides) under uncultured bacterium. RNAcentral's name for it is "partial 16S ribosomal RNA". It matches the Rfam family "Bacterial small subunit ribosomal RNA", at positions 28 to 507 of the family's 1533-position model. The record is from RNAcentral.
GAUGAACGCUGGCGGCGUGCCUAAUACAUGCAAGUCGAGCGAACAGACGAGGAGCUUGCUCCUCUGACGUUAGCGGCGGACGGGUGAGUAACACGUGGAUAACCUACCUAUAAGACUGGGAUAACUUCGGGAAACCGGAUCUAGUACCGGAUAAUAUAUUGAACCGCAUGGUUCAAUAGUGAAAGACGGUUUUGCUGUCCCUUAUAGAUGGAUCCGCGCCGGAUUAGCUAGUUGGUAAGGUAACGGCUUACCAAGGCGACGAUGCGUAGCCGACCUGAGAGGGUGAUCGGCCACACUGGAACUGAGACACGGUCCAGACUCCUACGGGAGGCAGCAGUAGGGAAUCUUCCGCAAUGGGCGAAAGCCUGACGGAGCAACGCCGCGUGAGUGAUGAAGGUCUUCGGAUCGUAAAACUCUGUUAGUAGGGAAGAACAAAUGUGUAAGUAACUAUGCACGUCUUGACGGUACCUAAUCAGAAAGCCACGGCUAACUACGUG